AACGAACGCUGGCGGCAUGCCUAACACAUGCAAGUCGAACGAGACCUUCGGGUCUAGUGGCGCACGGGUGCGUAACGCGUGGGAAUCUGCCCUUUGCUUCGGAAUAACAGUUAGAAAUGACUGCUAAUACCGGAUGAUGUCUUCGGACCAAAGAUUUAUCGGCAAAGGAUGAGCCCGCGUAGGAUUAGGUAGUUGGUGGGGUAAAGGCCUACCAAGCCGACGAUCCUUAGCUGGUCUGAGAGGAUGAUCAGCCACACUGGGACUGAGACACGGCCCAGACUCCUACGGGAGGCAGCAGUGGGGAAGUAUU
RNAcentral lists this ribosomal RNA (310 nucleotides) under uncultured bacterium. RNAcentral describes it as "bacterial SSU rRNA". It matches the Rfam family "Bacterial small subunit ribosomal RNA", at positions 29 to 366 of the family's 1533-position model. The record is from RNAcentral.